AGUGAACGCUGGCGGUAGGCCUAACACAUGCAAGUCGAACGGCAGCACAGUAAGAGCUUGCUCUUACGGGUGGCGAGUGGCGGACGGGUGGGGAAUACAUCGGAAUCUACUUUUUCGUGGGGGAUAACGUAGGGAAACUUACGCUAAUACCGCAUACGACCUACGGGUGAAAGCAGGGGAUCUUCGGACCUUGCGCGAUUGAAUGAGCCGAUGUCGGAUUAGCUAGUUGGCGGGGUAAAGGCCCACCAAGGCGACGAUCCGUAGCUGGUCUGAGAGGAUGAUCAGCCACACUGGAACUGAGACACGGUCCAGACUCCUACGGGAGGCAGCAGUGGGGAAUAUUGGACAGUGGGCGCAAGCCUGAUCCAGCCAUACCGCGUGGGUGAAGAAGGCCUUCGGGUUGUAAAGCCCUUUUGUUGGGAAAGAAAAGCAGCAGGUUAAUACCCCGCUGUUCUGACGGUACCCAAAGAAUAAGCACCGGCUAACUUCGUG
RNAcentral lists this ribosomal RNA (492 nucleotides) under uncultured bacterium. RNAcentral's name for it is "partial 16S ribosomal RNA". It matches the Rfam family "Bacterial small subunit ribosomal RNA", at positions 29 to 507 of the family's 1533-position model. The record is from RNAcentral.